UACGGAGGGGGCUAGCGUUGUUCGGAAUUACUGGGCGUAAAGCGCACGUAGGCGGCUUUGUAAGUUAGAGGUGAAAGCCCGGAGCUCAACUCCGGAAUUGCCUUUAAGACUGCAUCGCUCGAAUCAUGGAGAGGUGAGUGGAAUUCCGAGUGUAGAGGUGAAAUUCGUAGAUAUUCGGAAGAACACCGGUGGCGAAGGCGGCUAUCUGGCCCGUAAUUGACGCUGAGGCGCGAAAGCGUGGGGAGCAAACAGG
Molecule: ribosomal RNA, 253 nt
Filed under: uncultured bacterium
Lineage: Bacteria
Description: partial 16S ribosomal RNA
Rfam family: Bacterial small subunit ribosomal RNA
Source: RNAcentral